AGAAACCAAGCGGUACGAGGAAGAGGAAUUGAAGGGAAGCAAGUUCGAAGUAUCUCUCUACCGACGCCUUCUUUGCUUGAUUAUAUUAUGGAUAAAAUUUUACAAUGUAGUCAUCAUCAAGUUCCACACUUUUUGGUAUACCCUUCUCAUCUCUUUCCUUUCCAAAGACAAUUGCCAUUAAAUUUUUUUUCUGAAGAUGAAGUUGGGGAAGAAGAAAGGUGGGGGACAGGUUGGGUUUGGCGGUGGAGGAGGAGG
RNAcentral lists this long non-coding RNA (255 nucleotides) under Olea europaea (common olive). RNAcentral's name for it is "long non-coding RNA (OEUR_LNC005102)". The record is from RNAcentral. Lineage: Eukaryota; Viridiplantae; Streptophyta; Magnoliopsida; Lamiales; Oleaceae.